This 659-nucleotide long non-coding RNA is filed under the name Dromaius novaehollandiae (emu). Its description in RNAcentral is "lncRNA (ENSDNVG00000009055.1)". The record is from RNAcentral. Lineage: Eukaryota; Metazoa; Chordata; Aves; Casuariiformes; Dromaiidae.
GGCUCUGCAGCAGCAGUGCCUUAAGCUAGACCAACAGGAGUGCGCUCCCAAGCAAAACGAUGGCAUCUCUCCCAUCCCUGCACCUUGCCGCAACUCUGCCUCAGAGGCAACUUUUCUCCCUGAUUUGCUAACUAUGCCCUAGUCAAGCAGGAGCCAGGAGAGGGGUGGGUAGGGUGGAAAGGAGCUGGGGGGACUGGAGCRGGGCUGGCCCCGGAGACACCCCGCCCCGAYGGGGCGGGACGAGCUGCCCGCCCCAGUCCGAGGCACUUAAAAGCCGGGGCAGCAGAGCCAGGGAGCAGGGAGCGACCAGCCGGGGCUGCACUGGAGCCGGUUGCACAAGCUGCAGAGAUUGCUACGGACGCCAGCAAAACGUCGGCCGAAAUGGCAACCGAGGCCUGUUGAACUAAAGCAUCUUGGAGCACUCCUGAGCCAGACCUGAUAGCUCAAGGGCUAAAUGCUACUGACAGYGACAUGGCCCCACCUUUUCAACUGCUUGCAAAGGUCUGAAAGUCCAGCGGCCUUUCUGGUCAGGGCUACUGCACUGAAACAACAUGCUUGAGCAUGGACUCUGCUUUACUUUGAUAACGACUACAUUGAGCAAAAGAUCUUUUUUUAGGAGAACAUAUAAAUAAAUAUUUUUAACUUGCCUUUUAACUUCA